Long non-coding RNA from Arachis duranensis, 538 nucleotides. RefSeq lists it as uncharacterized. The record is from RefSeq and is a predicted model, not a curated record. NCBI's taxonomy places the organism in Eukaryota, Viridiplantae, Streptophyta, Magnoliopsida, Fabales, Fabaceae. The transcript has 3 exons.
UUAUAACAUCUUCCAUUUUGAUUCAUCAGGUAUCCAACUGAGCUAUCUAGAAGAGCCAAAAUUAACUCAGUAAUGGAUUGACAUCAUUCUAAUUUAUGAAAUGGAGCAGUGAAUUAUGUAAUACAUACUACACUAGCACAUGUCCUUGGCCGUCAACUAAAUCCAAAAGCAGCUACUGAAGGAGAAAAAGUUUUAUUAUCUUCUCUGAAAGCACUGGAGGAUUUUUGGCUCAAUGGAGAUAAUGGAAGCUUUCUGUGUGAUAGCACCCAACCAUCGGUGGCUGAUCUCAGUAUGAUUUGUGAACUUAUGCAACUUGAGGUUUUGGAUGAGAGGGAUCGCAGUCGAAUAUUAUCUCCUUACAAGAAAAAUUUUCAGUGGAUUGAGAAUACAAGAAAGGUCAAAGUAAUAAAUUUGUGGCAUAUUGUGGGCUUUGUUCUAUAUGCAAAUCAGGAAGAAAUAGUCUUUCCUCCCUGGUAGGUCUGUCCUUUUCAUGGGUGAAGAUGAUCAAGCAUGCAAAUCAAUGGUGCCACAUAAUGGU